ACUAUUUUGUCAGAUAAUAUGUACUAGAUUUAGGAUCUAGUUAAAUAGAAGUUAAUUUCUAUAAAUAGUAAGACGAUAAAUCUAAUUGUUUU
RNAcentral lists this transfer RNA (92 nucleotides) under Catoptrus nitidus. RNAcentral's name for it is "transfer RNA-Val". Lineage: Eukaryota; Metazoa; Arthropoda; Malacostraca; Decapoda; Portunidae. RNAcentral also lists the same sequence under 1 other name. The record is from RNAcentral.